AAAAAAAAAAAAAAGGAAGGUGGUAGACAGGGUGGAGGGCGGGGCCUGGAGCCCUGGGUGAGGCUAUGGACUGCGUUGCCCUGAGGGGAGCCAGCGGAGGGUUUUGCACAAGGACAUGACGGAAGCUGACGUACACCUUGAGAGAAGUCCUCUCGUGGCUGUUUUCAGAAUAGUUUGGAAGCAUUUGGAAUAACCCAGGAAGUUUGGCACCUGCCGAUCGGUGACAUCGACACCCGGGCUGCUGCGGGCCAGGACGAACCCCUCCAUCCGGGAGCAGUGGUGGCGGUGGAACAGGUGGCCUGGGGUGCUGGAGGCAGGCCAACCUGGAGAGGUAGGC
Long non-coding RNA from Symphalangus syndactylus (siamang), 337 nucleotides. RefSeq lists it as uncharacterized. The record is from RefSeq and is a predicted model, not a curated record. Lineage: Eukaryota; Metazoa; Chordata; Mammalia; Primates; Hylobatidae.